GACGAACGCUGGCGGCGUGCUUAACACAUGCAAGUCGAACGGAAAGGCCCUGCUUGCAGGGUACUCGAGUGGCGAACGGGUGAGUAACACGUGGGUGAUCUGCCCUGCACUUCGGGAUAAGCUUGGGAAACUGGGUCUAAUACCGGAUAGGAGCCAUCUUUAGUGUGGUGGUUGGAAAGUUUUUUCGGUGUAGGAUGAGCUCGCGGCCUAUCAGCUUGUUGGUGGGGUAAUGGCCUACCAAGGCGGCGACGGGUAGCCGGCCUGAGAGGGUGUACGGCCACAUUGGGACUGAGAUACGGCCCAGACUCCUACGGGAGGCAGCAGUGGGGAAUAUUGCACAAUGGGCGCAAGCCUGAUGCAGCGACGCCGCGUGGGGGAUGAAGGCCUUCGGGUUGUAAACCCCUUUCGCUAGGGACGAAGCUUUGUUGUGACGGUACCUAGAUAAGAAGCACCGGCUAACUACGUG
This 466-nucleotide ribosomal RNA is filed under the name uncultured bacterium. RNAcentral describes it as "partial 16S ribosomal RNA". It matches the Rfam family "Bacterial small subunit ribosomal RNA", at positions 28 to 507 of the family's 1533-position model. The record is from RNAcentral.